UACGAAGGGGGCUAGCGUUGUUCGGAAUUACUGGGCGUAAAGGGCGCGUAGGCGGUGUGUCAAGUCAGGCGUGAAAGCCCCCGGGCUCAACCUGGGAACAGCGCUUGAGACUGGCACGCUCGAGUUCGGGAGAGGAUGGUGGAAUUCCCAGUGUAGAGGUGAAAUUCGUAGAUAUUGGGAAGAACACCGAUGGCGAAGGCAGCCAUCUGGACCGACACUGACGCUGAGGCGCGAAAGCGUGGGGAGCGAACAGG
RNAcentral lists this ribosomal RNA (254 nucleotides) under uncultured bacterium. Its description in RNAcentral is "partial 16S ribosomal RNA". It matches the Rfam family "Bacterial small subunit ribosomal RNA", at positions 524 to 776 of the family's 1533-position model. The record is from RNAcentral.